Triticum dicoccoides is the source of this 1051-nucleotide long non-coding RNA. RefSeq lists it as uncharacterized. The record is from RefSeq and is a predicted model, not a curated record. NCBI's taxonomy places the organism in Eukaryota, Viridiplantae, Streptophyta, Magnoliopsida, Poales, Poaceae. The transcript has 4 exons.
CCUAAACCUAAUCUAGUGCGCCUCCUCCCCAACCUGCACGCCGCCGCCCGUCCCCUGACCACCCCCUCCCCGCCCCUCGCACCACACACCUGUGGCCCACAGCCCAUCAUCCACCCAGGAGCAGCAGCGCCGUCCGCUGCACCGAGGAGCAGCUACGCCGUCCGCCGCGUCGAGGAGCAGCUUUGCCGUCCGUUGCGCCGAGGAGCAGCCGUGCCGUCCGCUGUGCAGAGGAGCAGCAACACCUACCACCGGCAAGGAGAAGCAGCAAGGUGAGCUGCGAGGAUCCACCGUUGUUCUUCCUCCAUGGGUGACCUCUGCUCCGGCUGAUUUACUUUCCUCCGCCCCGCCUACCGAAUUCAAGAGAUGCAAAUGGAAACAUGCAAGAUGGAACUUAGUGCCCAGAUAAACCCUUCAAACUUUAUAAGGUGAUGUACAAUUGUCUGAUGAUUUGCUGCUCCAUAUUCAUUUUACAAGAGUCUAAUUCAUUUCUUUUGGCUGUCAAACUUGGAGUUGGAACAUGGCAUCAACAUUGCCUACUGGAGAGGAUGGUUGCUGCUGUGGAGAGUUGAAACAGGGCAUCAACAUUGCCUACUGGAGAGGAAGAGUUUGAACAGGAUUCUUGAAUAUGUUCCUGACCUCACGCAAUGGAUCGUCCGUCUGAUCUCGUCGUCCAAUGACCAAGAGUUCUGAGACGAAUGUGUGGUGCCGCUCGGGAAACAUAGGGACAUGGCAGAAAGUAGCAAGUCCACAAGUUGAUCUAAAAUGUUCCGGUGAUCGCAUUUGUUCAUAACAUGGUAGACACAUUUUGUUCAUAUGGAAGUUGAUGCCACUUGGUGAUUGAAGGAUUGGUCUCUUUCAUGAUAUUUUGUAGUAGUCAAGUGAUCAAACAAUUGGUCUCUUAGGGCUUAGCCCUUAUAUUUUGUAGCAGGACACGUCUUGUAUGUCGACUUAUGUAUUUUCUUCAUGGUUGGAACAAACUUGAGUGAAGAUAACUAAUGUUCAAUAUAUGUUGAAUAAAUAUAUUAGUGAUUGGUAUCUUGUGAUGAAUAGA